UAAAUAUAACCAUGAGACCGAUAGUAAACAAGUACCGUGAGGGAAAGUUGAAAAGAACUCUGAAUAGAGAGUUAAAUAGUACGUGAAACUGCUUAGAGGUUAAGCCCGAUGAACCUGAAUAUCCAAUAUAGAAAAUUCAUCAUUAAGAUUUUAAUAUUUAUAAAUAUUUUAAUAAAAGUGUGCAUUUUUUCUAUUGAGGACAUUGUAAUCUAUUAAUAGAAGUUGUAUUUAUCAUAAGAUCAAUUGCGCAAGUUUAUUCAAAUUAUUUUGCUUGCAAUUUAACAUAGAAUAAAUGCUUUUGAUUUGAUAAAGUAUUGAUAGAUUCAUUAUAUAUAGUGCUGGAAUAUUUUAAUAUUCUAUAAUAUCAUAUAAAUUAGUAAUUUUUAUGUUCAUUUUAUGCACUUAUAUGAUUAACAAUGCGAAAGAUUCAGGAUACCUUCGGGACCCGUCUUNNAA
RNAcentral lists this ribosomal RNA (456 nucleotides) under Hyphantrophaga sp. blandaDHJ03. Its description in RNAcentral is "eukaryotic LSU rRNA". The stretch from base 1 to 92 matches the Rfam family "Bacterial large subunit ribosomal RNA", at positions 467 to 559 of the family's 2925-position model. The record is from RNAcentral. Lineage: Eukaryota; Metazoa; Arthropoda; Insecta; Diptera; Tachinidae.